GAACCAGCUCUCAGCACUGGUCCCCUACCCAUUUGAAUGCUUUUAGGAAGAUGGAGGACUUUCAGAAGAAACUAAUCAGAAUGAUAUGACAGUUCAGUUAGCCAUGGUUAGGGGAACUAUAAAUAUUUAACUAGGAGAGGACAGGAGAAUAGAAAACUCGUUUCAAAUAUUUGGAGAGCUGAAAAGUAGAAGAGAAAUUAAGAAAUUGUUAGUAUGACCCUGUGGCCCUAUGUGGAAGCUAUAAAGAGACUUUUGUCCCCAAACAAGAAGGAACUCACAAAUACGUACAAAGAUGUGAUGGGAAUUCUUGUUCAGGAUGCCAGAUAGUCAUGCAUAUAAAUGCUUUCUGCUACAAAAUCCCAUAGAAAUAAUGAUAAAGAAAAAUGUAGAAUAAUAAGCAAAAGACCCUACUGGAUAUAGGAGAAGGGGUGUCAGGGAACUGGAAGUAUAGAGAGAUUUCUUAAAAGUAGAAAUACUUGGAUUGUAUUAACAGAUUAAACCAUAUUCAUAGGAGAAGUCUGCAGUAGGGGCCAGAGCUAUUUUUCCUGGCAGCAGACCCAGAGAGACUCAAAACUUGGAGUAUGAGAAGGGAGUUGGAGAUGAUUCAACUGUGGAAUAACUGUGUGAGUCAUAGUCCACAUUCUCCUUCCCUGUGUCACAUGCUCAAGCAAAAUCCAAAGGA
RNAcentral lists this long non-coding RNA (682 nucleotides) under Marmota monax (woodchuck). The record is from RNAcentral. Lineage: Eukaryota; Metazoa; Chordata; Mammalia; Rodentia; Sciuridae.